UACAGAGGGUGCGAGCGUUAAUCGGAAUUACUGGGCGUAAAGCGUGCGUAGGUGGUUUGAUAAGUCGGAUGUGAAAGCCCUGGGCUUAACCUGGGAACGGCAUACGAAACUGUCGGACUCGAGUCGUGUAGAGGGAAGUGGAAUUUCCGGUGUAGCGGUGAAAUGCGUAGAUAUCGGAAGGAACAUCAGUGGCGAAAGCGGCUUCCUGGACCAGUACCGACGUUCAGGCACGAAAGCGUGGGGAGCAAACAGG
This 253-nucleotide ribosomal RNA is filed under the name uncultured bacterium. RNAcentral describes it as "partial 16S ribosomal RNA". It matches the Rfam family "Bacterial small subunit ribosomal RNA", at positions 524 to 776 of the family's 1533-position model. The record is from RNAcentral.